CGGAGGAUCCAAGCGUUAUCCGGAAUCAUUGGGUUUAAAGGGUCCGUAGGCGGUCAGAUAAGUCAGUGGUGAAAGCCCAUCGCUCAACGGUGGAACGGCCAUUGAUACUGUCUGACUUGAAUUAUUAGGAAGUAACUAGAAUAUGUAGUGUAGCGGUGAAAUGCUUAGAGAUUACAUGGAAUACCAAUUGCGAAGGCAGGUUACUACUAAUAUAUUGACGCUGAUGGACGAAAGCGUGGUAGCGAACAGGAUU
This 253-nucleotide ribosomal RNA is filed under the name uncultured bacterium. RNAcentral's name for it is "partial 16S ribosomal RNA". It matches the Rfam family "Bacterial small subunit ribosomal RNA", at positions 526 to 779 of the family's 1533-position model. The record is from RNAcentral.